UGGGGAAUCUUGCGCAAUGGGCGAAAGCCUGACGCAGCGAUGCCGCGUGAGCGAUGAAGGCCUUCGGGUUGUAAAGCUCUGUGGAUGGAGACGAAUAAGUGUGGGCUAAUACCCUUCAUGAUGACGGUAUCCAUUUAGCAAGCACCGGCUAACUCUGUGCCAGCAGCCGCGGUAAUACAGAGGGUGCAAACGUUGUUCGGAAUUACUGGGCGUAAAGCGCGUGUAGGCGGCACUGUAGGUCGGAUGUGAAAUCCCGUGGCUCAACCAUGGAAGUGCAUUCGAAACCGCAGAGCUAGAGUAUCGGAGAGGAAGGUGGAAUGCUUGGUGUAGAGGUGAAAUUCGUAGAUAUCAAGCGGAACACCGGUGGCGAAGGCGGCCUUCUGGACGAUUACUGACGCUGAGACGCGAAAGCGUGGGUAGCAAACAGG
This 428-nucleotide ribosomal RNA is filed under the name uncultured bacterium. RNAcentral's name for it is "bacterial SSU rRNA". It matches the Rfam family "Bacterial small subunit ribosomal RNA", at positions 355 to 776 of the family's 1533-position model. The record is from RNAcentral.